GAUUAUGGCUCAGGAUGAACGCUAGCUACAGGCUUAACACAUGCAAGUCGAGGGGCAGCAUGAAUCAAGCUUGCUUGAUUGAUGGCGACCGGCGCACGGGUGCGUAACACGUAUCCAAUCUACCCAUGGCUCGGGAAUAGCCUUUCGAAAGAAAGAUUAAUGCCCGAUGGCCUCAGGUUAAGACAUCUUUUCCUGAGUAAAGAUUCAUCGGCGAUGGAUGAGGAUGCGUCCGAUUAGGUAGUAGGCGGGGCAACGGCCCACCUAGCCGACGAUCGGUAGGGGUUCUGAGAGGAAGGUCCCCCCACACUGGAACUGAGACACGGUCCAGACUCCUACGGGAGGCAGCAGUGAGGAAUAUUGGUCAAUGGUCGAGAGACUGAACCAGCCAAGUAGCCGUGAAGGAUGACUGCCCUAUGGGUUGUAAACUUCUUUUGUUCGGGAAUAAAGUGCGGGACGCGUCCCGCUUUGUAUGUACCGUACGAAUAAGCAUCGGCUAAUUCCGUGCCAGCCGCCGC
This 515-nucleotide ribosomal RNA is filed under the name uncultured bacterium. RNAcentral describes it as "bacterial SSU rRNA". It matches the Rfam family "Bacterial small subunit ribosomal RNA", at positions 15 to 518 of the family's 1533-position model. The record is from RNAcentral.